UACGUAGGGUGCGAGCGUUGUCCGGAAUUAUUGGGCGUAAAGAGCUUGUAGGCGGUUUGUCGCGUCUGCAGUGAAAAUCCGGGGCUCAACCCCGGACUUGCUGUGGGUACGGGCAGACUAGAGUAUGGUAGGGGAGACCGGAAUUCCUGGUGUAGCGGUGGAAUGCGCAGAUAUCAGGAGGAACACCGAUGGCGAAGGCAGGUCUCUGGGCCAUAACUGACGCUGAGAAGCGAAAGCAUGGGGAGCGAACAGG
This 253-nucleotide ribosomal RNA is filed under the name uncultured bacterium. RNAcentral describes it as "partial 16S ribosomal RNA". It matches the Rfam family "Bacterial small subunit ribosomal RNA", at positions 524 to 776 of the family's 1533-position model. The record is from RNAcentral.